Molecule: long non-coding RNA, 703 nt
Filed under: Brassica rapa (field mustard)
Lineage: Eukaryota; Viridiplantae; Streptophyta; Magnoliopsida; Brassicales; Brassicaceae
Description: long non-coding RNA (BRAP_LNC008333)
Source: RNAcentral
GCUCAAAAUCGCCCUUUACACUAGCUUUUAUAAGCUUUACACAUUGCAUACAUUAGAAACCUAAAUCUAAUGGAUAGAAACACUUGAGAGAAUGAAUGGCUAGGAUGGAGCUUGGGAUUGAUCUGUGUGAUGGCUUCUCAUUGGUUCAGCUCUCUUUAGUAUCUGAUUGGUUAAUUCAAACUGGUCAAGGCAAGGGCUGGCUUCUCAUUGGCUCCUUAUAGGCUCCCAUGAAUGUUCCCAUGUAUCUGACCAGAUACAUGCUCAAGGGUGCUUCUCCUUUACAGCUCACGCCAGCUCACACCUUGCUGUCUUAUCCACAAGUGAUCCCAAGUCCUAAAGAAAGACCAUGGCGCCCCUUUGCAUCAGAAUCUCCUCUUGGCUUCUUCCCAUAAUCAGCCACACGAGUUUCUUCUUCCUUGGGGCUCAAGACAGACUUGUUCAAACUUCAGGAUGUGUACGGAUUGCUUGCACUGACCGUACAACACCCUAAUAUUGCACAAGUCCUAAAAUGUCCCAAAUGGCCAAGUUAUGCAAUAUGGUUCGACCCUGAUCCGUACUGAUCCGUACUGGUCUCCCUAUCUUUGCACACUCAACCAUUUGCUCCCAAUCACACUUCUAAGUCCCUCCUGGACUUGGCCCUAUCUUUGCACAACCCAUCUCAAUCCUACUCCUCCUUUGGCUCCAUUCUUUUCUUCAAGUUAAC